UGUCUGCUUAGUAUGAGUGCUCAUGCGACGUACAGUAGAGUAGUAUAUACACCACUACUAUCUAUACGUGCAGCACGGCACAGUAAUGUCCACGGAAAGCAUGUGUCCCGGCUGGCGGCGCGGCGGCUGGCGCGGCACACGCGCAACGUCGAUACGACACUGCCCGUCGCCCACGCCUCGCCGCCGCCCACGCCACCCGGAAAGGCAGCAGAGCGGGCCGGACGACGCACGCGCACUGCCUGCACGCACCCGUCCGCCCCGCCCCGCCCGGUCCCACAGCACGAAUAAUAAAUAGUAGCACACGAUUUUGUUAAUGAUCCUUCCGCAGGUUCACCUACGGAAA
Molecule: unclassified non-coding RNA, 343 nt
Filed under: uncultured fungus
Lineage: Eukaryota; Fungi
Description: sequence contains ITS1
Source: RNAcentral